This 510-nucleotide ribosomal RNA is filed under the name uncultured bacterium. RNAcentral describes it as "partial 16S ribosomal RNA". It matches the Rfam family "Bacterial small subunit ribosomal RNA", at positions 28 to 507 of the family's 1533-position model. The record is from RNAcentral.
GACGAACGCUGGCGGCGUGCUUAACACAUGCAAGUCGAACGAAGAGCGAUGGAAGCUUUCUUCUCUCAAUCUUAGUGUCGAACGGGUGCGUAACGCGUAAUCAACCUGCCCUUCAGAGGGGGACAACAGUUGGAAACGACUGCUAAUACCGCAUACGAUCUAAUCUCGGCAUCGAGGAUAGACGAAAGGUUGCCGCUACAUGUAAGCUAUCACUGAAGGAGGGGAUUGCGUCUGAUUAGCUAGGUGGAGGGGUAACGGCCCACCAAGGCGAUGCUCAGUAGCCGGUCUGAGAGGAUGCACGGCCACAUUGGGACUGAGACACGGCCCAGACUCCUACGGGAGGCAGCAGUGGGGAAUCUUCCGCAAUAGACGAAAGUCUGACGGAGCAACGCCGCGUGAGCGAUGACGGCCUUCGGGUUGUGAAGCUCUGUUAAUCGGGACGAAAGGCCUUCUUGCGAAUAGUGAGAAGGAUUGACGGUACCGGAAUAGAAAGCCACGGCUAACUACGUG